RNAcentral lists this ribosomal RNA (405 nucleotides) under Synpeachia temasek. Its description in RNAcentral is "partial large subunit ribosomal RNA". It matches the Rfam family "Bacterial large subunit ribosomal RNA", at positions 1998 to 2457 of the family's 2925-position model. Lineage: Eukaryota; Metazoa; Cnidaria; Anthozoa; Actiniaria; Haloclavidae. The record is from RNAcentral.
GGCGUCACGAAGGCCCCACUGUCUUAAGAGGACUCUCCAUGAAAUUGAAUUCGUAGUGAAGAUGCUACGUCCAUAUUGUAAGACGAAAAGACCCCAUUGAGCUUUACUAAAGACUUGCAUGGCUCAAAAUAAUUUAAAUAAAGAGUUUAGAUAAUGUGGGAUCCGUUUCCGGUUAAUGAAACACCACUCUUUUAUUUUAAAAGAGCUAACAUAGCAGGGAUAAUGUAAGUUGGAUAGUUUGGUUGGGGCGACCACCUUUUAAAAGGUAACGAAGGUGAGCUUAAGGUCCGUAGUUAAUAGCCGGUGGCCUGACUGCAAGGGGGACGUCUCGAGCAGACACGUCCUUAGGGAUGUGGGCUAUAGUGACCCGUCAUCUUAGCGUGGAAUAGUUGACGAUCAACGAAU